UACGUAGGGUGCGAGCGUUAAUCGGAAUUACUGGGCGUAAAGCGUGCGCAGGCGGUUCGUUGUGUCGGUGGUGAAAUCCCCGGGCUUAACCUGGGAAUGGCCAUGGAAACUGGCGAACUGGAGUGCGGCAGAGGGGGGUGGAAUUCCGCGUGUAGCAGUGAAAUGCGUAGAGAUGUGGAGGAACACCGAUGGCGAAGGCAGCCCCCUGGGCUAACACUGACGCUCAGGCACGAAAGCGUGGGGAGCAAACAGG
RNAcentral lists this ribosomal RNA (253 nucleotides) under uncultured bacterium. Its description in RNAcentral is "partial 16S ribosomal RNA". It matches the Rfam family "Bacterial small subunit ribosomal RNA", at positions 524 to 776 of the family's 1533-position model. The record is from RNAcentral.